GUGGGGAAUAUUGCACAAUGGGGGAAACCCUGAUGCAGCAACGCCACGUGUGGGAAGAAGCAUUUCGGUGUGUAAACCACUGUCAUGAGGGAAUAAGGCCCAGUUUAGGCUGGGAUUGAAUGUACCUUGAGAGGAAGCACCGGCAAACUUCGUGCCAGCAGCCGCGGUAAUACGAGGGGUGCAAGCGUUGUUCGGAAUUACUGGGCGUAAAGGGAGCGUAGGCGGAGAUUCAAGCGGAUUGUACAAUCCCGGGGCCCAACCCCGGCUCUGCAGUCCGAACUGGAUCUCUUGGAUAGUUCAGGGGCAGGCGGAAUUCCUGGUGUAGCGGUGGAAUGCGUAGAGAUCAGGAAGAACACCGAUGGCGAAGGCAGCCUGCUGGGGACUUAUCGACGCUGAGGCUCGAAAGUGCGGGUAGCAAACAGG
This 423-nucleotide ribosomal RNA is filed under the name uncultured rumen bacterium. RNAcentral describes it as "bacterial SSU rRNA". It matches the Rfam family "Bacterial small subunit ribosomal RNA", at positions 354 to 776 of the family's 1533-position model. The record is from RNAcentral.